GAUGAACGCUGGCGGCGUGCCUAAUACAUGCAAGUCGAGCGAACGGACGAGAAGCUUGCUUCUCUGAUGUUAGCGGCGGACGGGUGAGUAACACGUGGAUAACCUACCUAUAAGACUGGGAUAACUUCGGGAAACCGGAGCUAAUACCGGAUAAUAUUUUGAACCGCAUGGUUCAAAAGUAAAAGACGGUCUUGCUGUCACUUAUAGAUGGAUCCGCGCUGCAUUAGCUAGUUGGUAAGGUAACGGCUUACCAAGGCAACGAUGCAUAGCCGACCUGAGAGGGUGAUCGGCCACACUGGAACUGAGACACGGUCCAGACUCCUACGGGAGGCAGCAGUAGGGAAUCUUCCGCAAUGGGCGAAAGCCUGACGGAGCAACGCCGCGUGAGUGAUGAAGGUCUUCGGAUCGUAAAACUCUGUUAUUAGGGAAGAAUAUAUGUGUAAGUAACUGUGCACAUCUUGACGGUACCUAAUCAGAAAGCCACGGCUAACUACGUGCCAGCAGCCGCGGUAAUACGUAGGUGGCAAGCGUUAUCCGGAAUUAUUGGGCGUAAAGCGCGCGUAGGCGGUUUUUUAAGUCUGAUGUGAAAGCCCACGGCUCAACCGUGGAGGGUCAUUGGAAACUGGAAAACUUGAGUGCAGAAGAGGAAAGUGGAAUUCCAUGUGUAGCGGUGAAAUGCGCAGAGAUAUGGAGGAACACCAGUGGCGAAGGCGACUUUCUGGUCUGUAACUGACGCUGAUGUGCGAAAGCGUGGGGAUCAAACAGGAUUAGAUACCCUGGUAGUCCACGCCGUAAACGAUGAGUGCUAAGUGUUAGGGGGUUUCCGCCCCUUAGUGCUGCAGCUAACGCAUUAAGCACUCCGCCUGGGGAGUACGACCGCAAGGUUGAAACUCAAAGGAAUUGACGGGGACCCGCACAAGCGGUGGAGCAUGUGGUUUAAUUCGAAGCAACGCGAAGAACCUUACCAAAUCUUGACAUCCUUUGACAACUCUAGAGAUAGAGCCUUCCCCUUCGGGGGACAAAGUGACAGGUGGUGCAUGGUUGUCGUCAGCUCGUGUCGUGAGAUGUUGGGUUAAGUCCCGCAACGAGCGCAACCCUUAAGCUUAGUUGCCAUCAUUAAGUUGGGCACUCUAAGUUGACUGCCGGUGACAAACCGGAGGAAGGUGGGGAUGACGUCAAAUCAUCAUGCCCCUUAUGAUUUGGGCUAUACACGUGCUACAAUGGACAAUACAAAGGGCAGCGAAACCGCGAGGUCAAGCAAAUCCCAUAAAGUUGUUCUCAGUUCGGAUUGUAGUCUGCAACUCGACUACAUGAAGCUGGAAUCGCUAGUAAUCGUAGAUCAGCAUGCUACGGUGAAUACGUUCCCGGGUCU
This 1372-nucleotide ribosomal RNA is filed under the name uncultured bacterium. Its description in RNAcentral is "bacterial SSU rRNA". It matches the Rfam family "Bacterial small subunit ribosomal RNA", at positions 28 to 1381 of the family's 1533-position model. The record is from RNAcentral.